CCUACGGGUGGCUGCAGUGAGGAAUAUUGGUCAAUGGACGAGAGUCUGAACCAGCCACGUAGCGUGAAGGAUGACUGCCCUAUGGGUUGUAAACUUCUUUUAUAUGGGAAUAAAAUGUUCCACGUGUGGGAUUUUGUAUGUACCAUAUGAAUAAGUAUCGGCUAACUCUGUGCCAGCAGCCGCGGUAAUACGGAGGGUCCGAGCGUUAUCCGGAUUUAUUGGGUUUAAAGGGAGCGUAGGUGGAUUGUUAAGUCAGUUGUGAAAGUUUGCGGCUCAACCGUAAAAUUGCAGUUGAAACUGGCAGUAUUGAGUACAGUAGAGGUGUGCGGAAUUCGUGGUGUAGCGGUGAAAUGCUUAGAUAUCACGAAGAACUCCGAUUGCGAAGGCAGUUCACUGGACUGCAACUGACACUGAGGCUCGAAAGUGUGGGUAUCAAACAGGAUUAGAUACCCUUGUAGUC
Molecule: ribosomal RNA, 460 nt
Filed under: uncultured bacterium
Lineage: Bacteria
Description: partial 16S ribosomal RNA
Rfam family: Bacterial small subunit ribosomal RNA
Source: RNAcentral